GGACAAAUCGAAUAAACUGACCUUCAAGCUUGCCAUCCAUAUUUGAAAAUUACCCAAAGAAACUGACAUAUCCAUCUUAUAAGAAGAGAUAAAAUAAAUGUAGAACAAACAAAAUAGUUUAACAUAGCUAAAGCACAUAUUACAGUUUCAGAGCUCAUUUCAAAUGAACACAUUCAAUUCUUCAAACCACUCAAACGACAAAUCUGUGGCUUUGCAAAUGAAAUUCUAACAACGACUAAUUACCAACAACAAACACCCAAAUUAUCCCUUAACAUCUAACAACUCAAAUAGACGUGCUAGAUUUAACAAUUGAAUAUGAAACCAGCGGCGUUUGUCCUUCAAAAUCCUCAAACGACAAAAAGAACCAAAAAAAAACAUAGAUAGCGAGAAUAGAAAAUACAAAUCGGAUUGAUAUAGAAUUUGAAUCACAUUUUUAUGAAUAACAAAGUUCAAUUGUUUCACAAAUUCAAUAAUUAACAUUUGACCAUUCCGAAUCGAGUUGAAACAGUAGCUCAAAGACGAAUAAACAUACCCGGAAAUGAAGCUCCGCAAAUCAACAAUACAGCAGUAAAAUCAGCAGAAUCGAACAACAAUCAACAGAGCUUCGAACCCGGAAAGUUAACCAUGCUAUUAUCCUUUUUCAAAGCCAUUUUUCGUUUUUUUUUUUUGUUUUUCUUUAAUUAAAAACUAUUUCAGCUGGGUUUGCUCUGCUUCGCCGGACAGUAAUGGAGGGUCGUUUGUUUGGUUCUUGACUGAUACCAGCG
RNAcentral lists this long non-coding RNA (764 nucleotides) under Nicotiana tabacum (common tobacco). RNAcentral describes it as "long non-coding RNA (NTAB_LNC002917)". The record is from RNAcentral. Lineage: Eukaryota; Viridiplantae; Streptophyta; Magnoliopsida; Solanales; Solanaceae.